This is a non-coding RNA of Brassica rapa (field mustard), 91 nucleotides long. Lineage: Eukaryota; Viridiplantae; Streptophyta; Magnoliopsida; Brassicales; Brassicaceae. The record is from Rfam.
AAGGGUCAAGUGAGGAUUGAUUUCGCAUAGUUCAGAUGAUAAAAAAUCUUACAUGAUUACAUUUAUCUUUCGCUCCUAUCUGAUGACCUUC